This 2627-nucleotide long non-coding RNA is filed under the name Triticum aestivum (bread wheat). Its description in RNAcentral is "long non-coding RNA (TAES_LNC017879)". The record is from RNAcentral. Lineage: Eukaryota; Viridiplantae; Streptophyta; Magnoliopsida; Poales; Poaceae.
AUUGAUUAAGACCAAAUGAAUGCGCCGCUCAUUCUUCUUCUGAAUAGUGUACAAUAGAAUUGUUCAAAAAACAAACUGUCAUAUUAUUCAUACAUAUGUAGAUCAUAUAUGAAAACAUGCUAACUAUUAAGCAUAUACUCCGGCUUCUGCGGGUAAACUACUGACUCGAACAAUUUUUUGAAAAUGUCCUUCCUCUCACAUGGCUCUUGUUUGGCAUACUUGAUCUUGCAAUUGACUACUUGUGUCCUCAAAUUUUACAUCAAUACGUUUAGUCUCAAACUCUCCAUAUUCCCAGACUUUAACUUCAUGUCAUCCUUGUGGCUGCAUGAACAGUACUUUUAUCUUUGGCGUAGCCAACACUGAGCCUCCAUGUUCAAGGUUUGGCUUUUGCACUAACACUUCAGGUAUUUUUGGGCACUCUUUUUCUUAUUUUCCAGAUUUAUUGUUUUCAUUUUCUUCAUCUUCCAAGUCUGAUAAUACAAUAGAUUUCCGCCUUAUUUUUCUGCUACCGACACUUGUUGAUGUAUUUUUAUGUUGAUGCUCCUUCUGAGGUUCUGUACUCCCGUUUUAUCUUCUGGAUCCUAUUUCGCAGGGACCAACUCGCAUGUGUUCUUGGUAAGCUCACAUUUGCUGAUUUGUACGUGCAGAAAUCACAUGAAUGGAUGAACUAAGAGACGGAUUUAUUUAAGGAAAAGUUUGUACAAUGAAGUAUUCAUUCACCUUUUUAACUGGCUCAUUCUGUUUAUUUGAUUCUUGUUUUAACAUGUCCGCCUCAUCAUCCAUCAAAUCCUGUUGAGCACAAUGGAUAAAGAACAUAAAUAUCUGCUUCCAUUGUUUCAUAUAAAAAGGGUAUAAUAAUUGGUGUACAAAUAAUAAAUUUAAUGAUUUAAUCAACCAUCACCUCUUCAGCUUUAUCGUCUAAGUAUCGCUUUUCAAGCCUCUCAUGAGGCACAAAUGUUUUUUUACUGUAUAGUUUUGUAUACCUAGAGUGAAGUUCUUAUUGUUGAGUUUGAACCGAAAGAUAAGUCUUUGUCCACAUAAUUCACAUAUAAUCUUUGCGACUUCUUCAGAUCUUCCGUCUAAGAAAGUCAACAGGAAUGAGACUGAUAUAUUGAAACUUUCAGCCUCUUCAUCAAAUAAAGAAAACAACCUUAUUAAUGAAAAGUUGACGCAUAGAUAUACACUUAUUCUCGCAUAAGAAUUCCGAUCUCACGUAUAUCUAAAGUUGUUGUUUUGUUGUUGUCAUCCUUGAUUCUAUUGGUUUAAUCUUGGUAAGAACCCAAUGACAUCUGCAAAUUUUAAGAUUAAUGACUUCAAAAUUAGAAAGUUAAUCAUUGGGAGUAUAUUAGCACAACUACCAACAUAUGACUUCAAAUUAAAAAUAACCACUUGGAAGUAAGAAAUAUGACUACCAACAUACCUGAGCAUUGUUGGUAUUUUUCUAGCUGUUCUUGUAGGGUAUCUUUGCUAGCAAACUCGAAGUACUAAUCUGGAAAAUUAUCCGAGGAACCUUUCAUCUUCGUUAGGUCUGUUUUGUAUAGAAUUGUUUUUAGUUUCUUCGUUGACUGGGCGAUAUUUUGUCGGAUCUACAACUUUAAAAUUGCUAAAAGCAUAUAUGGAACCCUCGUUGAUCUUCGAUCUAUAAGUUUCCAUUAGAUUCUUCUAGAUAGUAGCAUGAAUUGUAUCACCCUUCAAAACUGAAUGAAGAUAAUCUUAGAAAUAAUUUUGAUAGUAGAAGAAAUACCAUUGUUAUAAUGUGAAGAAAAUACCUGCUCAUCCAUCUAGAUCAUAUCAAUGCUUAUAAGUUCAUCAGGUGAAGGGUUGAUUGAAUCCCACAUUCUCAUUACUUUGGCUUUAUUAUUCAAUGUGUGUCCUCUUGUGGUUAGCUCACUCAACUUCUUGUACGCCAUAGGUUGUUGCCUUCAAAACAAUUAUAAAAAAGAGUGAUUCAUCUGAUAAUGCACCAAUAAAAUUUUGGUUUAAAAAAUGUUCUAACUAAACAAUGAACAUGAAAAUAGGGUGUUUGUAAGGAAGUUGCGAAGAAAGCUGUGAUGGGAAGAUUUGAGCAGACAUCAAGCAGUUAUAUAUACUACCCAUAGUAGAUGAUGUUUCUAUUGUUCCUUCUACAGGCCUUCGAUGUGUCGGUCGUCUUGCCAUUCCCUUGGAUACGCCGGGUGUCCUGCCGAUCUUGCCGGUGCAACUGAUCGUCCUCGACAUGUGUGGAUAUGUUGUUACCCAAAUUUGAUGAUGUUUUUGUUGUUUCUUCUUCGGGCCUUUGAUGUGCUGGGCGUCCUGGGGAGGCGUCGACCUUGCCGAUGCAACUGGUUGUCAUUGGCUUGUGUCGAUCUGCCUUCAAUCUGUUGUGCGCGUGAUGUGACGUGUGAAGGCGCGUGUUGAUUGCUAGGCGUGAUGUCGUGUAUGUUUUGCUCUUCUGGGCGUGUGCCCACCUAUUCAUAUACUAGUAGAAUGCCCGUGCGUUGCUACGGGCUACAGUGCAUACAAAUGAAUCAAACCAGUGGUUAAGGUCGUCUUCAAGGUUGAAUCUCAUUUAUCGCUCAUUGUGUAUGUUCAUACAUUAAACGGGUGGCUAGCAGGCUCCCCAAAAUUCAACCAUCUGAACAGUCCAG